UUUCAACCCCAAUCUUCUAGUCAGUGUUUACUGAGGGUGUAAGAGUAAAGGGUAUAGAUUGAACUCCUACUUUUUCAAAGAAGUUCACUUGAAACCAUGGCCUCGUAUGGGAACCUACUUUGUGGAGUGUCAAAUAGUUCCUGCUCUGUGGUGAAUAUGGUCGGUCAGAGGUUUUGCACUCCCUGUCAGACAGCAACGCCUGGGCGACCCAACCCAACCCAUCACAGUUCUGGGGUGACAACCCCACUGCAGCCUGAGUAUAGAACAGAUCAACGUGUUAGCAAACAUUGGCCUCCCUGGCCCAGUCCACAUGAUCAGUGAGGCUCUAUUUUUAAUCCAUCCUAUUCUAUGUGAUUACAAUCCUGUCUAUUUUGUCUCAUUGAAGUUGUUGAAUAUUUACCAGUAAGUCUCUAUUGUCAGUGUUAAUCAUUCACUUCAGUUUCCCUCCGAAUUGAGUUAUCCAAUAUUAUCAUGUGCUGGAAAUACUGUCCUACUACUAGGAUCCAUUGGCCAAGCGAUCACAGAGGAAAGAGGAGAUGGAAUAAAACAAGGCAUUUUAGAGGAACUCUCCAUAGUUUGCAAGUGUAUUUAAUGGAUUGUGGUUCGGGGAGUUUCAAAAGCCCAUGGACAUAACAGGAUAUCUUUGUUGAAAUCAACAAAAAAAACUCUUCAAGACAACCCUAGGCAACCAUUACCACGUUCAUCACUUGAACCAGAAGCAAUAAGUCAUCUUUAUGGGAAGAGUGUCUGAAAAGCUCCCAGCAUCAUAGAACCAUGCUACAACCACAGUGUAACAGGGUUAUGGUAGAGCCCUGUAGCCCAGGAAUACCUGGCUAUCUAUGAUCUACUACUGCAUGGGAGAAAGUGGCUUUGGAAAUGUCUGGUUGCCAAAGUUCACGCACUAACAUAAAAUGAUCUGAAACUGUGUAUAUUAAACAUGUUUUAAUCUAGCAUUCCAGUAUGAAGUUAGAGGCCCAGGACAAUAGCCAGCAUUUACAUAGAAAUUGGUUAUUGCACAUAGCUCUGAGCAUGUUCUCCAUGAUAUCAAAGGUUGCAAACGAUUAUGUAAGUACAAUAUGUACAGUUUGUCCUUGUUGUAUAUAUCAUAAACAACUCCACCAUUAAAGGGGAAAUCUGCGAAUUCUAAACCAAUUUUUGACAUGUAAAUUAAUGAUAGUGUAAAUACCCAUUGAUUAUUGAAUAAUGUACAUUCUAACUACCUCUUGAGCUUAGUUCAACUGUCGUACCCCAUCAGAACCCAA
Long non-coding RNA from Oncorhynchus tshawytscha (Chinook salmon), 1262 nucleotides. NCBI's taxonomy places the organism in Eukaryota, Metazoa, Chordata, Actinopteri, Salmoniformes, Salmonidae. The record is from Ensembl.